Molecule: ribosomal RNA, 465 nt
Filed under: uncultured bacterium
Lineage: Bacteria
Description: partial 16S ribosomal RNA
Rfam family: Bacterial small subunit ribosomal RNA
Source: RNAcentral
CCUACGGGUGGCAGCAGUGGUGAAUAUUGCGCAAUGGGCGAAAGCCUGACGCAGCGACGCCGCGUGAGGGAUGAAGGUCUUCGGAUCGUAAACCUCUGUCAGCAGGGAAGAACGGUAACUGUGCUAAUCAGCAGUGAAUUGACGGUACCUGCAAAGGAAGCACCGGCUAAAUCCGUGCAAGCAGCCGCGGUAAUACGGAGGGUGCGAGCGUUAAUCGGAAUUACUGGGCGUAAAGCGCUCGUAGGCGGUAUGUCAAGUCAAGGGGGAAAUCCCCGCGCUCAACGUGGGAACUGCCUUGGAAACUGGCAAACUGGAGUGUGUGAGAGGAUAGUGGAAUUCCAGGUGUAGGAGUGAAAUCCGUAGAUAUCUGGAGGAACAUCAGUGGCGAAGGCGACUAUCUGGCACAUAACUGACGCUGAGGAGCGAAAGCGUGGGUAGCAAACAGGAUUAGAUACCCGAGUAGUC